CCUACGGGAGGCAGCAGUGGGGAAUAUUGGACAAUGGGGGAAACCCUGAUCCAGCGACGCCGCGUGAGUGAAGAAGUAUUUCGGUACGUAAAGCUCUAUCAGCAGGAAAGAAAAUGACGGUACCUGACUAAGAAGCCCCGGCUAACUACGUGCCAGCAGCCGCGAUAAUACGUAGGGGGCAAGCGUUAUCCGGAUUUACUGGGUGGAAAGGGAGCGUAGACGGCAGCGCAAGUCUGGAGUGAAAUGCCGGGGCCCAACCCCGGAACUGCUCUGGAAACUGUGAAGCUGGAGUGCAGGAGAGGUAAGCGGAAUUCCUGGUGUAGCGGUGAAAUGCGUAGAUAUCAGGAGGAACACCGGCGGCGAAGGCGGCUUACUGGACUGUAACUGACGUUGAGGCUCGAAGGCGUGGGGAGCAAACAGGAUUAGAUACCCGUGUAGUC
RNAcentral lists this ribosomal RNA (440 nucleotides) under uncultured bacterium. RNAcentral describes it as "partial 16S ribosomal RNA". It matches the Rfam family "Bacterial small subunit ribosomal RNA", at positions 338 to 795 of the family's 1533-position model. The record is from RNAcentral.